GCUUAACACAUGCAAGUCGAGGGGCAGCAUGGUCUUAGCUUGCUAAGGCCGAUGGCGACCGGCGCACGGGUGAGUAACACGUAUCCAACCUGCCGUCUACUCUUGGACAGCCUUCUGAAAGGAAGAUUAAUACAAGAUGGCAUCAUGAGUCCGCAUGUUCACAUGAUUAAAGGUAUUCCGGUAGACGAUGGGGAUGCGUUCCAUUAGAUAGUAGGCGGGGUAACGGCCCACCUAGUCUUCGAUGGAUAGGGGUUCUGAGAGGAAGGUCCCCCACAUUGGAACUGAGACACGGUCCAAACUCCUACGGGAGGCAGCAGUGAGGAAUAUUGGUCAAUGGGCGAGAGCCUGAACCAGCCAAGUAGCGUGAAGGAUGACUGCCCUAUGGGUUGUAAACUUCUUUUAUAAAGGAAUAAAGUCGGGUAUGGAUACCCGUUUGCAUGUACUUUAUGAAUAAGGAUCGGCUAACUCCGUGCCAGCAGCCGCGGUAAUACGGAGGAUCCGAGCGUUAUCCGGAUUUAUUGGGUUUAAAGGGAGCGUAGAUGGAUGUUUAAGUCAGUUGUGAAAGUUUGCGGCUCAACCGUAAAAUUGCAGUUGAUACUGGAUAUCUUGAGUGCAGUUGAGGCAGGCGGAAUUCGUGGUGUAGCGGUGAAAUGCUUAGAUAUCACGAAGAACUCCGAUUGCGAAGGCAGCCUGCUAAGCUGCAACUGACAUUGAGGCUCGAAAGUGUGGGUAUCAAACAGGAUUAGAUACCCUGGUAGUCCACACGGUAAACGAUGAAUACUCGCUGUUUGCGAUAUACUGCAAGCGGCCAAGCGAAAGCGUUAAGUAUUCCACCUGGGGAGUACGCCGGCAACGGUGACACUCAAAGGAAUUGACGGGGGCCCGCACAAGCGGAGGAACAUGUGGUUUAAUUCGAUGAUACGCGAGGAACCUUACCCGGGCUUAAAUUGCAGAUGAAUUACGGUGAAAGCCGUAAGCCGCAAGGCAUCUGUGAAGGUGCUGCAUGGUUGUCGUCAGCUUGUGCCGUGAGGUGUCGGCUUAAGUGCCAUAACGAGCGCAACCCUUGUUGUCAGUUACUAACAGGUUCCGCUGAGGACUCUGACAAGACUGCCAUCGUAAGAUGUGAGGAAGGUGGGGAUGACGUCAAAUCAGCACGGCCCUUACGUCCGGGGCUACACACGUGUUACAAUGGGGGGUACAGAGGGCCGCUACCACGCGAGUGGAUGCCAAUCCCCAAAACCUCUCUCAGUUCGGACUGGGGUCUGCAACCCGACUCCACGAAGCUGGAUUCGCUAGUAAUCGCGCAUCAGCCACGGCGCGGUGAAUACGUUCCCGGGCCUUGUACACACCGCCCGUCAAGCCAUGGGAGCCGGGGGUACCUGAAGUGCGUAACCGCGAGGAGCGCCCUAGGGUAAAACUGGUGACUGGGGCUAAGUC
RNAcentral lists this ribosomal RNA (1437 nucleotides) under uncultured organism. RNAcentral's name for it is "16S ribosomal RNA". It matches the Rfam family "Bacterial small subunit ribosomal RNA". The record is from RNAcentral.